Molecule: ribosomal RNA, 245 nt
Filed under: uncultured bacterium
Lineage: Bacteria
Description: partial 16S ribosomal RNA
Rfam family: Bacterial small subunit ribosomal RNA
Source: RNAcentral
UACGUAGGCAGCAAGCGUUGUUCGGAGUUACUGGGCGUGAAGGGUGUGUAGGCGGUCCCCUAAGUUUGGUGUGAAAUCUCCCGGCUCAACUGGGAGGGUGCGCCGAAAACUGGGGGGCUAGAGUACUGGAUGGGAGAGUGGAAUUCCUGGUGUAGCGGUGAAAUGCGUAGAUAUCAGGAGGAACACCUGUGGUGUAGACGGCUCUCUGGACAGUAACUGACGCUGAGACACGAAAGCGUGGGUAG